CUUUAUUUCUGCCAUGGAAGGUCUUGCAGGGUCGUGUUAUAGCCACAGUCACUGACAUGCUUCAAAGGCUACCAACAUUAAUUUGGCAUCAACAGCCAACCAUCAUGCCAAAGCUGACUACAAAUCCUUGUAUUUCUUCUGUAUUGUUUAAAGAAAUAUAACUGAAGGGUGAAAAAGAGGGAUUCUUCUUGGAGUGAUUUUAAAUUGGAGCCACACAUCUGCAGUUACUGCCAAAUAACUUUCAGGCAGCCCCUCCCCUGGGGGCACAGGACUUUUAUCAUUACCCUUGCAAAAAAAAGCCUGAGCAUGCAAAAUGCCAACAAAAACCUAAACAAAGGAAGAAUGAAAAAUUAGCAUUAAAGGCAGCAGAUUUAAGUUAUAGAAAUGUAUAUAAUUUAUUUUGAUUAUGAUGAUGAUAAAAUGUGUGUUUAAGAGGCUACUCUUGCAAAUAAUAAUAAUGAACAAAUGAAGCACCAAGCAUAAGUGCCAAAGAAAGAAAACAGUGAAUGGUUCAGGAGGAGAACAGAGGUGAAUGGUUCAGGAGGAAAGAACUCUGCUUGAAAGAAGAUGAGAUGUAAUGGCUUCAAAAUGCAGAUGGAGCAGGAUGCAGGGCUGUUACAGGAAAGAAGGCAACUGUGGUGGUUUUGCAUGGACUGACAUUUGGGGAAGAAGUAAGAAACCACCCACCAAAGUGAUGUCUCUGAGAGAAGCUGCUGGGAGCUUCCUCUGUGCCUUGAAAAGGCCAAUAGCUGGCUCAUUCUGAGAACUGACAACGUUUUAAGCCAUUUUGAAGUUGGACUCUCCUCUGUGAAUUCCACAUUUUAAAGACAGCAAGCCCAAGAAAUCUCACUCUUUGCUUCUGUCCUCAAAAGGUAGCAGAGCUCUGGUGGGGCCGGCCCCGCGGCCUGUGCGGCCUGUGCGGCCUGUGCGGCCUGUGAGGCCUGUGAGGCCUGUGAGGCCUGUGAGGCCUGUGCGGCCUGUGAGGCCUGUGAGGCCUGGGGUAGGCCGGACCAAACCCCAGCGGCUCCCGGGUGGGGAUGGAGGCUGUGGGGUCCUGGGCCCAGGCAGGGCCAGGCCACGGCUGCUGACAUCUCGCCAACAACCAAAAACCACCCCCGGGCCCACACAGAUGGCUCCAGGCUGAGCCAGGACUGCCUGUCCCCCCUCCCAGCAGCUGCCAGGCUGAGGGAGGCACCCAGCAUGGCCUGAAAUCCAACACCAUGACUGCUGCGGCCACUAGGAGAGAUAUUAAUCCUUUCACUACACAGACGAGACCCUCAGACCUUGUUCCUCUGUCCAGGGAGAGAAAAAGAGUGAUGACACGUGGAAGGACAACAUGAAAACGCCAAGGUUAGUUAAGAAAGAGUCAAGCCUUGGAUGGAAGGAGAAUGAGGAGAUGCCCCAGUGGGGCUGAAAGCUCUUGGUAGUACCCUGGAGACAGACAAUGAUACACUGAAAUAUCUCCUUUAAUUUAUAAAAGUAUGGGAGGAUGAGGUGUUCAAAUUGUAGAUGUGAGCAGAGGCAUCCACUGAUGAAGCCAAGCAGAUGCUGGCAUAGCUGUGAUCCCAUGAGAAGCUUGAACAGAGAGAGAUGAGAGUGAUGAAGACCCUUUGCCCCCAGGGAGAGAAGAAGAAAACCUCUGUUCCCAGAGAUGAUCACAGAGAUAGAUGAAGAGAACCUUUUCCUUUGAAGAACUCAUCCUUAAAAUGAUACCCCAUGAGUUCAUGGCCCAUGGAAACACCUCUAGAAGGGCUGUGAAAAUG
This 1763-nucleotide long non-coding RNA is filed under the name Cyanistes caeruleus (blue tit). RNAcentral's name for it is "lncRNA (ENSCCEG00000016260.1)". The record is from RNAcentral. Lineage: Eukaryota; Metazoa; Chordata; Aves; Passeriformes; Paridae.